UACGGGGGGAGCAAGCGUUGUUCGGAUUUACUGGGCGUAAAGGGCGCGUAGGCGGCCUCUGCAAGUCGACUGUGAAAUCUCCGGGCUUAACCCGGAAAGGUCAGCCGAUACUGCAGGGCUAGAGUGCAGAAGGGGCAACUGGAAUUCUCGGUGUAGCGGUGAAAUGCGCAGAUAUCAGGAGGAACACCGGUGGCGAAGGCGGUUCUCUGGGCCUGUACUGACGCUGAGGAACGAAAGCGUGGGGAGCGAACAGG
Molecule: ribosomal RNA, 254 nt
Filed under: uncultured bacterium
Lineage: Bacteria
Description: partial 16S ribosomal RNA
Rfam family: Bacterial small subunit ribosomal RNA
Source: RNAcentral